RNAcentral lists this transfer RNA (72 nucleotides) under Camelus bactrianus (Bactrian camel). It matches the Rfam family "tRNA". Rfam says of the family: Transfer RNA (tRNA) molecules are approximately 80 nucleotides in length. Their secondary structure includes four short double-helical elements and three loops (D, anti-codon, and T loops). The record is from Rfam by way of RNAcentral. RNAcentral also lists the same sequence under 2 other names. Lineage: Eukaryota; Metazoa; Chordata; Mammalia; Artiodactyla; Camelidae.
GAGGGUAUAGCUCAGUGGUGGAGUGCAUGCUUAGCAUGCACAAGGUCCUGAGUUCAAUCCCCAGUACCUCCA